Non-coding RNA from Ameiurus melas (black bullhead), 77 nucleotides. NCBI's taxonomy places the organism in Eukaryota, Metazoa, Chordata, Actinopteri, Siluriformes, Ictaluridae. The record is from the annotation of a GenBank genome assembly.
CGCACGGUGGCUUUGUGGUUAGCACGUUCGCCUCAGGUCACACCUCCAGGGUCCAGGGUUCGAUUCCCGCCGUGUGU